GUAGUAGUUUUAAUUAUAUGAGAAGGUUCAAAAUGGACAUAAGCGAGAAGGAAAAAGUUGUUAAUAGUAAUGGUCAAAGUAGCAACAGUGAUAGUAGUAACAGUGAGAGUAGUAACAGUGAUAGUAGCAGCGAGAAAGGCAACGGAAAUGAAAAGGUAGCAAAACAAGAGAGCGUUAACUUUAGUAAUCAUAAAUACAUUGAUUUUUUUCGAGAUGAAACAAGAAAUAUUGGAAUAAUAACAUUUAAAAAUAUAAAUACAAAAAAGAAUAUAUUUCAAGAAUUUUUAGAAGAGUUUAAAAACGUAAUAGAACAUAUAAAUAAUCUCAUAUCAAAUGAAGAAAGUAAAACUUCUCAUUAUAUAAAAGAGUUUAAAAAUACAGAUAAUUAUUUAGUGAAAAAUAUAAAAAACAGUAUACCAUAUUAUGAUAGUAAGUUAAAAAUAUUAAUAAUUAACAGUAGUUUGGUAAAACAAAAUGGAGUGGGUGAUAGUUUCAAUAAUAAAAAUAACUCCACUAGUGAUAGUAACGAAAAUAAUGACACUGAUUCAGCAGACAUUUUUUUAAACUCAUUAGAUUAUAACUCAUAUUUAAAAAAUGAUGAAAAACUUAAUAUACAUACAUCAAACAUGUUUCGAAUGUUAUGUAAUCAUAUACAGAGUUUGCCUCUUAUAACUAUUAGUAAUAUUAAUGGAUUGUGUUAUAAUUGUGGAAUGGAUAUUUUGUUUUCAAGCGAUUUUUGUAUUUCAAGUGAAAAGAGUAGAUUUGGAUUUGAUAAAACAUACAUUGGUUUAUAUCCAUAUGGAGGUAGUAUACAAAAGAUUUUUCGUCAAAUUUCUAUGAAUUAUUCUAAAUUUUUAUUAUUAACAAGUCAGGCAAUAAAUGCACAAGAUGCUUUAAAAAUGAAUUUAAUUGAUAUAUGUUUAAAAACGAAUGAACAUUUUUAUAUUAAAAAUUCGAAUGUCUCUUUUGAUCAAACAAAAACAAAUGAACAAAAAUUUACUAUUAUAAAAAAAGAAAUUAUUAAAUAUUUUCAU
Molecule: long non-coding RNA, 1034 nt
Filed under: Piliocolobus tephrosceles (Ugandan red Colobus)
Lineage: Eukaryota; Metazoa; Chordata; Mammalia; Primates; Cercopithecidae
Description: lncRNA (ENSPTEG00000004795.1)
Source: RNAcentral